GACGAACGCUGGCGGCGUGCUUAACACAUGCAAGUCGAACGGAAAGGCCCUGCUUUUGUGGGGUGCUCGAGUGGCGAACGGGUGAGUAACACGUGAGUAACCUGCCCUUGACUUUGGGAUAACUUCAGGAAACUGGGGCUAAUACCGGAUAGGAGCUCCUGCUGCAUGGUGGGGGUUGGAAAGUUUCGGCGGUUGGGGAUGGACUCGCGGCUUAUCAGCUUGUUGGUGGGGUAGUGGCUUACCAAGGCUUUGACGGGUAGCCGGCCUGAGAGGGUGACCGGGCACAUUGGGCCUGCGAUACGGCCCAGACUCCUACGGGAGGCAGCAGUGGGGAAUAUUGCACAAUGGGCGGAAGCCUGAUGCAGCAACGCCGCGUUCGGGAUGACGGCCUUCGGGUUGUAAACCGCUUUCGCCUGUGACGAAGCGUGAGUGACGGUAAUGGGUAAAGAAGCACCGGCUAACUACGUG
This 468-nucleotide ribosomal RNA is filed under the name uncultured bacterium. RNAcentral's name for it is "partial 16S ribosomal RNA". It matches the Rfam family "Bacterial small subunit ribosomal RNA", at positions 28 to 507 of the family's 1533-position model. The record is from RNAcentral.